Molecule: long non-coding RNA, 1449 nt
Filed under: Chrysemys picta bellii (western painted turtle)
Lineage: Eukaryota; Metazoa; Chordata; Testudines; Emydidae
Description: lncRNA (ENSCPBG00000018533.1)
Source: RNAcentral
AGCCAGGGGUGCUGGGGAGGGCGGGGGCUCGUGCAGGCUGAUGCGCCGCGGGGCGGGGCCUUGGGGCGAGUGUGGCCCCUCGGUUUGGCCCCUUACGGGCUCACGUCUGCGGCCGCGGUAACAGCGGCCAGACUCGAGGGGAAGGGCCGGCCGCGCCACCACGGAAAUCUGACGGGAGCUGGGGGACCCCGAGCCCUCCCCCAUUGCAAGGGGCCACCCCCCCGGGACGCGACGCGACUCCUUUGACCCAACAGGGUGCUCAGGGAGCCGCUGGGGCGGGGGCAGGUGUUAACCCGGAGCGGCCUCCUGCGAGGCUAAAGCCACCCCCAGCUGAGGCUGCGGGGCAGAGGGGAGGCGCCGUGCAGCGGGUCUGUGACGGGGGCUGUUUGAACCUGAUUAAGGAGUGGCUCUAUCUAAAAGAUGGACUAGAAAGUAUCAACAGUUUCUGAAGGGAGUUGCAUCCAUUUUUUCACACCAAAGGGGACAGUAGCCAUUGCAUAGAGUUGUGAGGAUGGGAAGUGAAUGGAGAUGAAAAAAAUAGAGAGAUACUCAGGAUUGUGACAGACAUGAGGACCCAGUGGACAAAAAAGGCAAACUUUCUUUCUGUAUUUUUCUUGAAGAUUUGUUCUCCUUUGUUUUGGGUUCCCCCCUCCAACAUCUAGGUGUGAUUACUGUAAUUCCCUGCUGGCUGGUGUCUCUAUUUUGCUGACUGAAAGGUUUAGCUUAUCCAGAUUUCACUAAGCCUUUUAUUAGCACCAGACCAACUCAACACUUAACUUGUGUUUUCCAGCUUUUUGUUGUUGUCAUAUGAUAGCUUUCCUUGUAGAUUUUAAGAUCUUGCUCAUGACUUAUAAGCGCUCCAUGGACUGCAUUCUUUAUAUAUUUGUGUUCAGAGGUUGGAAAGAGCUGCUGUUGGCUGAUGCAUUACACUAGAACUUCUGUGGUUACCUCUUCGUUUCUGCAGAAUUUAAACUUUCACUUUAAAAAUGUCUAGCCCUUAUAAUCUCAAAGAAAAUAUUCCAAAUUUGAACUGAGGCAGUACUGUCUGUCUGAGUCUACAGACAGAACAGCUUUGAGAGAUGUCAGCUAGCCCCCUUUGUCUCAAUAUCUUAAUGCUGAAACCUAAUUUUGACACAAUUUUUUAUCAACAUUGUUAACAGUUUCACUGCUAAUGAUUUCAGCAGAAACAUCCAGCUAGUCUGGGGUUGUUGACAAAAGUUUGGGAUUGCAGAAAGAGAUUAGUAGAAGGUCACCACUUUUAUUUUUCCAAUCUGACCCACUUGAGCUUUUUUAGCCAUUUAGUCUCUGUCUUGGCAUCUUGUAAGUAGGAGUUAUCUGUUCCAUUGUUUAAAAUUAAGCUCUUUGAAGAUAUUAUUUUCUCUUCACAUGCAUCUCAUCUAUAGACUGUGUUACUUUCUGUUGUCAGGAACUCUGAAUACUUCACUGUAU